This is a long non-coding RNA of Homo sapiens (human), 757 nucleotides long. RefSeq lists it as uncharacterized. The transcript has 4 exons. Lineage: Eukaryota; Metazoa; Chordata; Mammalia; Primates; Hominidae. The record is from RefSeq and is a predicted model, not a curated record.
CCGCCCACCUCAGCCUCCUAAAAUGCUGAGAUUACAGGCAUGAGCCACCCUGCCCAGCCUGGCCUGGUUCUUUUACAAAACAUUCUAGAUGUUUAUGACUCACGUGUCUUUGGUACAAAAGAGGGGUGGGGGAAACAGGGUGUGUCCGGAAUUGGUGGGUUCUUGCUCUCACUGACUUCAAGAAUGAAGCCGCAGACCCUCACGUACCUAACCAUGUGCAAGAGCUUCCACAUACAUGACCUCAUCAUAUCAAGAGUUCUUCAAUGAUACGACUUUCAUUCCUGUGCCAAGUCAAAGAGUUUCAGACAAAGUCAAGAGACCCUCUUGCUUCUACCUGUGGCUCUAAGACAACCUUGAUUCAAACCUUGGUCACCGUGUGCUGAACCCCCAGGUGCCAGACUGGAACGGAGAUGUUUGGUUAGGACAACUUAUAUGGAGAACUUGGAGAGGCGCUGCACUUUACCAUUCAACAUCAGAACACCACCACUGCCACUCUAAGAAAUGGAAGGUCAUGCCUCGUUGAACCUUCCUUUUUGUUCAAGAAGACUAGAAAGGUAUCAUCGCUGCGAUUCUACCUGUAAAAGAACACCUUGAGAAGACGCCAUUCAUCACUCUGUCUGGGGGUGAGUAUAAAGAUGGCACCCAGAGGACCAUCAAGGAGAGAAAACUCCAGGAGAGCUCAUGGAAAUAGUAACACAGCAAAGGGAGAAAGAGAGAAAAGUCGAACUCUGAGUUCCUCUCUAGGGGAAAGGAGGAG